RNA transcript from Trachymyrmex cornetzi, 2987 nucleotides. It is a transcript of the gene named phosphatidylinositol glycan anchor biosynthesis class S, with no coding region annotated. NCBI's taxonomy places the organism in Eukaryota, Metazoa, Arthropoda, Insecta, Hymenoptera, Formicidae. The record is from RefSeq and is a predicted model, not a curated record. The transcript has 10 exons.
AAAAGUGUGUCGAAUAAGUUUUAUUUUGUUCAUUUUUGAGAUGCUGUAGUUAAACUGUCAUUUGUAGGUUAUACUGUUUUUAAUGGAACGAAAUAUAAAAUUCGGAAAUUGUUUUAACCUUAUUUUGUUAGUGAACUUGCGGAUACAUUUUUUCAAUUUCGUUAAUAUAAUUUAUUAAAGUGUGAGACACUUUUAUUGAGUUAAGUGUUUCCUGACUUUAUUCUCUUCGUAAAACCUCGGUGAAAUGGCAGAAAAAACGGAAAAUAUCAGUCAUGAUUUUAACGUGGAUGAAAAAUACAGAGUAUACGCGAGCGUGUCGUUCGCUGUAUUACUCCUAGGAAUCGGCGUGCCUCUCUGGUGGCACACUACAACAGUGCCUCGUGUUACACUUCCCUAUACUGGAAUUGAUGAAUUAUCGAAACUGGAUAUUAAAAUCACUACAAAGAUUACUGUCGCAGCCCUCUCACACAAUCGCGCCGAAUCGCUUGCACAUGAGAUCAGACGUACGUUCGAAAACGCUGAAAUAUAUCAGCUAAACGUAGAAUAUCAGAUAGUUUCCAAUAAUCUUUUGGCAUCCGCUUUCACGUACCACGAGCUCGAAAAGGUGGCUUCGACUUUCGAUUUGGAUGUGGGUGGUUUAUUACUGCUCGAAGCGACAAAUUUGAACGACGCUGUUCUAGUUGGCUCAAAGAGAACGUUGUAUUUCUCCACCGAAACUAAUAUAUCUACAUUAAUACAAGUAUUGUCAGAAUGGAUUCUGCGUGAUAAAUCAUUGGCGCUGACAAAAAAUGCGCUCGCAGAGCCUACCAUGUAUAGCUUAGAUGAGGAGAAUAGAAGACGAUUUCCAGCCAGUCUGGCAUAUGAUGUUCUAGUCACUUUGGUUAAUCCUGAUCCUGAAAAGCUGAAGAUUGUUUGGAACCUUAAGACUGUAACUGAAGAAUACGUGCAACCGUUUCUAGAUGAGUUGUCCAUUUUGAGUAACUUUUCUAUCAAAUCGCAGUGGCUGUAUUUAUUACCAUUAGAUAUGAAUCCUAGACGUGUACCCGACAGUAGCCCAAGCCGCAGGCACUUUGCCUUGCGCGAGAAUGUCCUGCCACAACUUGUAACACCAUUGGAGAAAAAAUUAGCAUCGCAGGUUAGUCUCCAUCCAUGUAUCAAUUUAGUCGUUUAUAUGGUACCGUGUGACAAUGCGCCUUUACAUAUCUACACCCGCAGCGGGCACAGAUCGCGAACAGAUAGCAAUGUGGAAGCCUUUCUCUCUCCAAGAUGGGGUGGCGUGAUUUUGAUUAAUCCAUCAUCCGAGAUUUGUGAGAGCGCACGAGAGGAUGAAGCUGUUACUGUCGUUCCCGAAGAAACUGCUAUAGUAGGCACAUUCCUGGCACAACUCAGACUAUUGCUAGGCAUUCCAGAAAUGAAAUCUAUUAACGGAGUGACGGCGGUGCCAUUGGUGGGGUUAAAAUCACGUGAUUGGGAAAUUGAUUCUUUAUUGAGAUAUCGCACUGUUGAACAGUUAACUUCGGCCAAAUUAACUCUGCAGUCACUGGCGCGACUACUCAAAGAAAUUAGCAAUAUCGUUAUUACGGACGUAGUAGGAAACAGAAUCAAGACUGCUCUUGGGCUAGUGCAUGAAUCUGCUGAGCAUCUGCGACGAGGCGAUCUCAAACGUAGUUUCAUCCUCAGCAAAGAAGCUUUUAUCAUCUCUGAGGCGGCUUUUUCCGACCCAACACUCUUGGCGCUUCUUUACUUUCCAGAGGAUCAAAAGUACGCCGUGUACAUUCCCCUAUUUCUGCCGGCUAUGAUACCGGUGUUGUUAUCUCUCAAGAAUAUACGAAGGUACUAUUUUCCUGGAAAGGAUAACACAGAAAAAAAGGUCGAUCUUAGAGAAAGUAAAAAUGACGAGGACAAUAGACUGAAAACUGAAUAAAUCACUUAUCUGACCGAUAAUAUUACAUGCAGACACUCGUGCGAUUGCUCGUUUGAACUCAUUUCGAUCAAAAGUGUUUCAAUUGUGAAUACCACACUUCCAUCUCCACCACAACCGGAAAAACAAGGUUAUCAGCGACAGAAGGACCACGAAUUUUUUUGCCGCUGCAGAAUCCAAAGUAAAUUGCAGAGAUUUUAUUCCUUUCUUAUUACUCCGUGAACUAACUCGAACUUGAGUUAGUUCUACUAAGAAUCACCCAUUUGCUUCAUAUAAAAGCUGUGCAAUCUGUGUUCUUACGAAAUAGUAGUCCACAGACUAAUACUUUGUACGAAGAAAUAGCGUGUAGUUCUUAGAAUUGGACUUAGAAGGCCCAAUUGCACCAAAGUUAUUUUGACUAAGCGAAGCUUAAAACUCUUUCUGUCUUUGUCACACUUUUGGCUUGAAAAUGAGACAGAAAGAGUUUUAAGUCUCGUUUAAAUCUCGUCAAGUAAUGUUUAUACAACCGGGCCUAAUUAAAAUGUCAUUGUUAUACGAAAAUUUAUAUACGUGAGAUAUUGAUCAUGGUGGAAUAAACAAGGUAUACCAUUGCGCAUCCUGGCUGUGAAUGGCGGGGGUAAUCUAAGGUGGGGAAAUCAAUGAGAUAUUUGACCCGAAAUCGUGUUCUUUCGUUUAUUCGUGUUUUGCAUUUCGGGUCAAAUUUCCCAUUGGCUACUGCGCAACCACGGGAAUGGUACACCUUGUUUAUUCCACCAUGAUAUUGAUGUAGUAAUAUGUAGUGAUGUGUCAGUGACACGUAAAUUGUCUGUAAAUUGUGUGAAGUUCUACUUGUACUAUGAUUAAUCAUCUUUAGAUUCCCCUUAAGGAUCAUUUAUAUUGGCCGUAAACUGUUAAUUUAUGCUAAGCUGUAAGAAACUGACCAAUCACAAUCGAAUGUGAGCAGAAUGAAGUCAAUUAGUCAUUAUUCUAGUAUAAAUAAUCUUUAAAGCUAGAAACACAUAAAAAAAUCGUAAAGCAAUAAGACUUAAACAGUGAGCGAAUCAACCAAUCACAGUAGAGAACGUGA